RNAcentral lists this microRNA (22 nucleotides) under Lotus japonicus. Its description in RNAcentral is "lja-miR7516-5p". The record is from miRBase by way of RNAcentral. Lineage: Eukaryota; Viridiplantae; Streptophyta; Magnoliopsida; Fabales; Fabaceae.
UAGCGGGUGUCUUCGCCUCUGA